CCCAGGAGGAAAAGACAGCCACAAAGAAGGAGAUUGGGAGCUUCUGACAUGCUUUGAGGGAGAAGCAGCCAGCAACCAUGCAGGUGGUAGCAGCACCCAGUGAUUGCGUCUUAAGGCAAGCUGAAAAGGAACAAACUUGUGUGUGUCUUUUGUCCGAGGAUUCAAGAGAAGUGUGUGGGGCAUGGUAGCAAAGCCCACUUCCUGGAUCAAAGAAAAGCAAGAGCAAGGGCCAACACUGCCAUUGCCUCUCAUUAAAGCAAUCAAGCUACAUGUUUCUCGAGGGGACUGAUUCAAAUUUUCAGAAUCUAUCAUGCUCCUCCAGAGAGGGUAUAAAGGACAGCACGAGACACUUCAAGAAGUCUCAGAGGAAGAGAAUCCUGCUUCUUCACAAAAGGUGCAAUGUGUGCAUUCCUCCAUGAAGAGUAAAACUUCGUAUGUGAAAAAUGUUUGUUGAGUUUAAAAGAUAAAAUCUCAGCUAUCAUGAAAGGAUAUACAUCUAAAUCACUCUAUUGAAGAAAUGACAUAAACCUUCCAGUGUUAUGUAUGUUUUUAAAACUUUCGGCUAACCACUAAGGGCCAACUUCCUAUGUAAUACAAAAUGAAAGAGUAAAAUGGCAUCACAAAACAGAAAAAGAAGGGAAGAACACAAAUUCAGAGACGACACCUGAAAACAGCAUCCCAGUUCAGGUAUUUUCCUUGUUUGGAAUCAGAAUGCCGAUCUAAAUGUUCAACUGUUUCAGGAUCCUGAAUCAGGCGCUUAAAUUUAUCCACUUCUUUCUGAAAAUGAAAAAUACAAUAAUAAUAAUAAUAAUAAUAAUAAUAAUAAUAAUAACAUACUAUGUUACCUAUCACACAUUUGUUUCAAGAAAAAAUAUUUCAAAUAACAUAUUACCCUUCGUUCUGUAGCUCUGUCAUGUUCUAACUGCCGGCAGCAAAUGAGCAGAUCAUUAAGUGCUAGACUCAUGGUUUAAGAUUUCAGAACAUGCAUCCUCACCUGUAAAAAGAAAGAAAUAUAUAAUUUCAUUUUUUUUUUUUGUCCUGAGGACUCGCUCAGUGCCUUAAGCAUACUAAACAUGUGAUGUGCCAGUAAGCUAUACUUUAGACCUGUAUGUAAUUAUUUUAGACAUUAGCUAUACAUUUAAACCUAACUGUACAUCCAGAGGCAUACUGUGAGCAAAGACACAAUACUUUUUCUUACUAUUCCUAUAGGACAUUUUCUUAAAAUAUAUCAAAAUUAGGCUCUAAUUCUCAAAUGUGUGCUUUGCCUAGCAUGAUAAUGUAUUAUUUUGAAUAAAAUCAAACAGUUCAGUAUUAUCUCUA
This is a long non-coding RNA of Mastomys coucha (southern multimammate mouse), 1320 nucleotides long. RefSeq lists it as uncharacterized. Lineage: Eukaryota; Metazoa; Chordata; Mammalia; Rodentia; Muridae. The record is from RefSeq and is a predicted model, not a curated record. The transcript is spliced from 4 exons.